This 253-nucleotide ribosomal RNA is filed under the name uncultured bacterium. Its description in RNAcentral is "partial 16S ribosomal RNA". It matches the Rfam family "Bacterial small subunit ribosomal RNA", at positions 524 to 776 of the family's 1533-position model. The record is from RNAcentral.
UACGUAGGGGGCAAGCGUUGUCCGGAAUCAUUGGGCGUAAAGCGCGUGUAGGCGGCUUGGUAAGUCCGUUCUGAAAGCCCGGGGCUCAACCCCGGGAGGCGGAUGGAUACUGUCAAGCUCGAGUCCGGAAGAGGCAAGUGGAAUUCCGAGUGUAGAGGUGAAAUUCGUAGAUAUUCGGAGGAACACCAGUGGCGAAGGCGGCUCACUGGUCCGGUACUGACGCUGAGGUGCGAAAGCGUGGGGAGCAAACAGG